CCUACGGGUGACAGCAGUGAGGAAUAUUGGUCAAUGGACGAGAGUCUGAACCAGCCAAGUAGCGUGAAGGAUGACUGCCCUAUGGGUUGUAAACUUCUUUUAUAUGGGAAUAAAAUGUUCCACGUGUGGGAUUUUGUAUGUACCAUAUGAAUAAGGAUCGGCUAAAUCCGUGCCAGCAGCCGCGGUAAUACGGAGGAUCCGCGGGUUAGCCGGAUUUAUUGGGUUUACAGGGAGCGUAGGUGGAGUGUUAAGUCAGUUGUGAAUGUUUGCGGCUAAACCGUAAAAUUGCAGUUGAAACUGGCAGUAUUGAGUACAGUAGAGGUGGGCGGAAGUCGUGGUGUAGCGGUGAAAUGCUUAGAGAUCACGAAGAACUCCGAUUGCGAAGGCAGCUCACUGGACUGCAACUGACACUGAGGCUCGAAAGUGUGGGUAGCAAACAGGAUUAGAUACCCCUGUAGUC
RNAcentral lists this ribosomal RNA (460 nucleotides) under uncultured bacterium. RNAcentral describes it as "partial 16S ribosomal RNA". It matches the Rfam family "Bacterial small subunit ribosomal RNA", at positions 338 to 795 of the family's 1533-position model. The record is from RNAcentral.